Molecule: ribosomal RNA, 253 nt
Filed under: uncultured bacterium
Lineage: Bacteria
Description: partial 16S ribosomal RNA
Rfam family: Bacterial small subunit ribosomal RNA
Source: RNAcentral
UACGGAGGUGGCAAGCGUUGCUCGGAAUUACUGGGCGUAAAGGGCGCGUAGGCGGCCUGCUAAGUCGGACGUGAAAUCCCCCGGCUCAACCGGGGAACUGCGUCCGAUACUGGUGGGCUCGAAUCCGGGAGAGGGAUGUGGAAUUCCAGGUGUAGCGGUGAAAUGCGUAGAUAUCUGGAGGAACACCGGUGGCGAAGGCGGCAUCCUGGACCGGUAUUGACGCUGAGGCGCGAAAGCCAGGGGAGCAAACGGG